AGCCAGACUCCUACGGGAGGCAGCAGUGAGGAAUAUUGGUCAAUGGGCGGAAGCCUGAACCAGCCAAGUCGCGUGAGGGACUAAGGCCCUGCGGGUCGUAAACCUCUUUUGCCGGGGAGCAGUGGUCCGGACGCGUCCGGACCGGGAGAGUACCCGGAGAAAAAGCAUCGGCUAACUCCGUGCCAGCAGCCGCGGUAAUACGGAGGAUGCGAGCGUUAUCCGGAUUUAUUGGGUUUAAAGGGUGCGUAGGCGGAAUGCCAAGUCAGCGGUAAAAUCGCGGGGCUCAACCUCGCUCCGCCGUUGAAACUGGCAGUCUCGAGUUGGAGAGAAGUAUGCGGAAUGCGCGGUGUAGCGGUGAAAUGCAUAGAUAUCGCGCAGAACUCCGAUUGCGAAGGCAGCAUGCCGGCUCCACACUGACGCUGAGGCACGAAAGCGUGGGUAUCGAACAGGAUUAGAUACCCUCGUAC
This 467-nucleotide ribosomal RNA is filed under the name uncultured bacterium. RNAcentral's name for it is "bacterial SSU rRNA". It matches the Rfam family "Bacterial small subunit ribosomal RNA", at positions 329 to 793 of the family's 1533-position model. The record is from RNAcentral.